This 297-nucleotide ribosomal RNA is filed under the name Bacteroides ovatus. RNAcentral describes it as "partial 16S ribosomal RNA". It matches the Rfam family "Bacterial small subunit ribosomal RNA", at positions 777 to 1073 of the family's 1533-position model. The record is from RNAcentral. Lineage: Bacteria; Pseudomonadati; Bacteroidota; Bacteroidia; Bacteroidales; Bacteroidaceae.
AUUAGAUACCCUGGUAGUCCACGCCGUAAACGAUGUCGACUUGGAGGUUGUGCCCUUGAGGCGUGGCUUCCGGAGCUAACGCGUUAAGUUGACCGCCUGGGGAGUACGGUCGCAAGAUUAAAACUCAAAUGAAUUGACGGGGGCCCGCACAAGCGGUGGAGCAUGUGGUUUAAUUCGAUGCAACGCGAAGAACCUUACCUGGUCUUGACAUCCACGGAAGUUUUCAGAGAUGAGAAUGUGCCUUCGGGAACUGUGAGACAGGUGCUGCAUGGCUGUCGUCAGCUCGUGUUGUGAAAU